GACGAACGCUGGCGGCGUGCUUAACACAUGCAAGUCGAGCGGUAAGGCCCUUCGGGGGAGACGAGCGGCGAAGGGGUGAGUAAGACGAAAGUAAUAUUCACAUCACCUUGGCAUAACUCUAGGAUAACGGAGCUAAUACUGAUUAUGACUACUUCAGGCAUCUGAUGGUGGGGGAAAGUUUCGGCGGGGAGGGAUGAGCUCGCGGCGUAUCAGCUUGUUGGUGGGGUAGUGGCCUACCAAGGCUUCGACGGGUAGCCGGCCUGAGAGGGUGACCGGCCACACUGGGACUGAGACACGGCCCAGACUCCUACGGGAGGCAGCAGUGGGGAAUAUUGGACAAUGGGCGGAAGCCUGAUCCAGCAACGCCGCGUGCGGGAUGACGGCCUUCGGGUUGUAAACCUCUUUCAGCAGUGACGAAGCGCAAGUGACGGUACCUGCAGAAGAAGCACCGGCCAACUACGUG
RNAcentral lists this ribosomal RNA (463 nucleotides) under uncultured bacterium. Its description in RNAcentral is "partial 16S ribosomal RNA". It matches the Rfam family "Bacterial small subunit ribosomal RNA", at positions 28 to 507 of the family's 1533-position model. The record is from RNAcentral.